RNAcentral lists this ribosomal RNA (445 nucleotides) under uncultured bacterium. RNAcentral describes it as "bacterial SSU rRNA". It matches the Rfam family "Bacterial small subunit ribosomal RNA", at positions 331 to 792 of the family's 1533-position model. The record is from RNAcentral.
CCAGACUCCUACGGGAGGCAGCAGUGGGGGAUAUUGCACAAUGGGGGAAACCCUGAUGCAGCGACGCCGCGUGGGUGAAGAAGCGCCUCGGCGCGUAAAGCCCUAUCGGCAGGGAAGAAGCAAGACGGUACCUGACUAAGAAGCCCCGGCUAACUACGUGCCAGCAGCCGCGGUAAUACGUAGGGGGCAAGCGUUAUCCGGAUUUACUGGGUGUAAAGGGAGCGUAGACGGCGAUGCAAGUCUGAAGUGAAAGGCGGGGGCCCAACCCCCGGACUGCUUUGGAAACUGUAUAGCUGGAGUGCAGGAGAGGUAAGUGGAAUUCCUAGUGUAGCGGUGAAAUGCGUAGAUAUUAGGAGGAACACCAGUGGCGAAGGCGGCUUACUGGACUGUAACUGACGUUGAGGCUCGAAAGCGUGGGUAGCAAACAGGAUUAGAUACCCUCGUA